This 90-nucleotide non-coding RNA is filed under the name Streptomyces sp. RNAcentral describes it as "ZTP sequence". It matches the Rfam family "ZMP/ZTP riboswitch aptamer (pfl RNA motif)". Rfam says of the family: Previously known as pfl RNA. ZMP is also known as AICAR. RNAcentral also lists the same sequence under 1 other name. Lineage: Bacteria; Bacillati; Actinomycetota; Actinomycetes; Kitasatosporales; Streptomycetaceae. The record is from RNAcentral.
GGUACGUACGGCGACUGGCGCACGGGGAAGCGACCCCGGGGAAGCCGUGCGUGACAUGCGCACGAGGUGCCGCCCGCCUGGGCACCCCGG